Molecule: ribosomal RNA, 875 nt
Filed under: Rhizophlyctis rosea
Lineage: Eukaryota; Fungi; Chytridiomycota; Chytridiomycetes; Rhizophlyctidales; Rhizophlyctidaceae
Description: eukaryotic LSU rRNA
Rfam family: Eukaryotic large subunit ribosomal RNA
Source: RNAcentral
GCUCAAAUUUGAAAUCUCACAGGGUUACCUGUGCGAAUUGUAGUUUAUAGAAACGUUUUCGGGGGUGGCUCUGGCAUAAGUCCUUUGGAAUAAGGCAUCAUAGAGGGUGAGAAUCCCGUUUAUGGUCAGAUGCCCGCUUCUAUGUGAUACGUUUUCUAAGAGUCGGUUUGUUUGGGAAUGCAGACCAAAAUGGGUGGUAAAUACCAUCUAAAGCUAAAUAUUGGCGAGAGACCGAUAGCGAACAAGUACCGUGAGGGAAAGAUGAAAAGAACUUUGAAAAGAGAGUUAAAAGUACGUGAAAUUGUCAAAAGGGAAACGCUUGAAACCAGUAUUGCUUUCAGGUAAUCAGCCGUUCCUUCUGGGGCGGUGCACUUGCCUGUUCGCGGGUCAACAUCAGUUUGGUUCGGGAUAAAAAGCCUUGAGAAGGUAGCCCCUCGGGGUGUUAUAGCUCAAGGUCAUGUCUCGGGCUGGACUGAGGUCUGCAGUGUUAUCUGGGUAGCCAGUCGCCUCUUGAAACCCUGUUGUAGACAGCAUGCUGACUACGGCUUGGUCUAGGGAGCACGGUUGGGAUUCCACACCAACACUUAGGAUGUUGACGAAAUGGUUUCAAACGACCCGUCUUGAAACACGGACCAAGGAGUCUAACAUAUAUGCGAGUGUUUGGGUGGCAAACCCUUACGCGAAAUGAAAGUGAACUUAGGUGGGAUCUUCGGUGCACCAUCGACCGGUCUGGAUUUUUUUGAUAGAUCUGAGUAAGAGCAUAUCUGUUGGGACCCGAAAGAUGGUGAACUAUGCCUGAAUAGGGUGAAGCCAGAGGAAACUCUGGUGGAGGCUCGUAGCGAUUCUGACGUGCAAAUCGAUCGUCAAAUUUGGGU